Molecule: ribosomal RNA, 338 nt
Filed under: Trichadenotecnum mixtum
Lineage: Eukaryota; Metazoa; Arthropoda; Insecta; Psocodea; Psocidae
Description: partial 12S ribosomal RNA
Source: RNAcentral
GAGUAGUAAUUGUUUUGGGCAGGAAACUUAAAGAAUUUGGCGGUGUAUAUUCUAAUUAGAGGAAUAUGUUUUUUAAUUGAUACCCCCCAAGUAUUUUACUUAAUUUUAUUUAUUUUGUAUAUCUCCGUCUUAAAAAAACUUUUUAAAAUAUUUUUUAUUUUUUAUAAUUUAAAAUAAGUCAGGUCAAGGUGCAGAUUAUGGUUAAGUUAAAAUGUAUUACAAUAAAAUUAUUUUUGGAUUAAAAUUUAAAUGGUGGUUUUAUUAAAUUGGAUUUAUGAGUAAAUUUUUUUAUAAAAUAAUUUAUUGAAUUGUGUUAAUAUACAUGCACACAUCGCCCG